This 219-nucleotide unclassified non-coding RNA is filed under the name Hevea brasiliensis (rubber tree). Lineage: Eukaryota; Viridiplantae; Streptophyta; Magnoliopsida; Malpighiales; Euphorbiaceae. The record is from RNAcentral.
CGGUUAACCAAAUGCUCACCCCUAAUAUCAUGAUAAGGUUACUUCAAACUGAUUCAAAAUGUUAAGGGCAGAUAUUUGGGCCAACAAAAUAAAGGCUGAAAAUACUGUUGAGUUUGCUGGACUAUCUCCAUUUAGUUCCCCAUGUACAACCUAUCCAGUAGUUCCACCAAAUAAUAAUAAUAAUCAAUUGCAAAUACAAAAUGAGUUCAAAGAAAAGGG